GACGAACGCUGGCGGCACGCCUAACACAUGCAAGUCGAACGGUAAGGCCCUUUCGGGGGUACACGAGUGGCGAACGGGUGAGUAACACGUGGGUAACCUACCUUUCACUGGGGGACAACCGAGGGAAACUUCGGCUAAUACCGCAUGAUGUGCACUACCUCAAGAUGGUGUACCAAAACUCCGGUGGUGAAAGAUGGGCCCGCGGCAGAUUAGCUAGUUGGUGGGGUAAAGGCCCACCAAGGCAACGAUCUGUAGCUGGUCUGAGAGGACGAUCAGCCACACUGGAACUGAGACACGGUCCAGACUCCUACGGGAGGCAGCAGUGGGGAAUCUUGCGCAAUGGGCGAAAGCCUGACGCAGCGAUGCCGCGUGAGGGAAGAAGGUCUUAGGAUUGUAAACCUCUUUCAGCAGGGACGAAAACAGACGGUACCUGCAGAAGAAGCCCCGGCUAACUACGUGCCAGCCGCCGCAGUAAAAC
Molecule: ribosomal RNA, 478 nt
Filed under: uncultured bacterium
Lineage: Bacteria
Description: bacterial SSU rRNA
Rfam family: Bacterial small subunit ribosomal RNA
Source: RNAcentral